This 248-nucleotide long non-coding RNA is filed under the name Mytilus galloprovincialis (Mediterranean mussel). The record is from RNAcentral. Lineage: Eukaryota; Metazoa; Mollusca; Bivalvia; Mytilida; Mytilidae.
UCCUUGAGAGACAAUGAUGUUUCUUUCUUUUCUAAUCAAAGAGUGGGCAUAAUCUUUGCCCCCUCCCUAUCCCUAUGAUUCUGCCAUUAAAGUUACGACACAAUUGAUCAAAUAAUAUCCGUGCACAAACUUUGUCGUUUAAAACUAUGAAAAAGAAUGUGUUCUUUUUUCCUUGGAACUUUUUAUGUUAUUCAGUGUACAUUGUGAAAUAAAAUUGAGAAUGGAAAUGGGGAAUGUGCCAAAGAGAC